GCCGGGCGAGGUGGCGGGCGCCUGUAGUCCCAGCUACUCGGGAGGCUGAGGCAGGAGAAUGGCGUAAACCCGGGAGGCGGAGCUUGCAGUGAGCUGAGAUCCGGCCACUGCACUCCAAAAAAAAAAAAAAAAGAAAAAAGAAAAAAAAGCAUGUGGCUGCUUCCAGCUUUCUUUUUUUUUUUUUUUUCUUGAGACGGAGUCUCACUCUGUCGCCCAGGCUAGAGUGCAGCGGCGUGAUCUCUGCUCACUGCAAGUUCCGCCUCCCGGGUUCACGCCAUUCUCCUGGCUCAG
This 291-nucleotide signal recognition particle RNA is filed under the name Macaca mulatta (Rhesus monkey). RNAcentral describes it as "Metazoan signal recognition particle RNA (ENSMMUG00000051424.1)". It matches the Rfam family "Metazoan signal recognition particle RNA". From Rfam's summary of the family: The signal recognition particle (SRP) is a universally conserved ribonucleoprotein. The record is from Rfam by way of RNAcentral. Lineage: Eukaryota; Metazoa; Chordata; Mammalia; Primates; Cercopithecidae.